CCGGCGACCGGCGCACGGUGAGUAACACGUAAUGGAACCUGCCCGCAGCAGGGGAUAAGCGGAAGAAAUUCCGUCUAAUACCGCGUAACAACGUUGGAGGCAUCUCCCGAUGUUUAAAGAUUUAUCGGCUGCGGAUGGCCAUGCGGCGCAUUAGCUAGUCGGCGGGGUAACGGCCCACCGAGGCGACGAUGCGUAGGGGUUCUGAGAGGAAGGUCCCCCCACACUGGUACUGAGACACGGACCAGACUCCUACGGAAGGCAGCAG
Molecule: ribosomal RNA, 265 nt
Filed under: uncultured bacterium
Lineage: Bacteria
Description: partial 16S ribosomal RNA
Rfam family: Bacterial small subunit ribosomal RNA
Source: RNAcentral